GCUCCCGUCGUCUAGCCCGGUCAAUAACGCUGAACAAAGCUCAGCGGAUUUCGCCAUGCGAAAAAUGCCGAAAGGAUAGGGGAUUCUCGAUCCCUUGGCGCGAGUUCAAAACGGCAGCUUCUUUCUUUGCGAAAGAAAGACGCUCCCGGGCAUCUAGAAAGAAAGCGUACGCUUUCGCUGCGCUCAAGCGCACAAAGAUGUUCGGCGCCGAGAAAGUCUCGCCGGGAGCA
RNAcentral lists this transfer RNA (230 nucleotides) under Nanobdellota archaeon. RNAcentral's name for it is "tRNA-Glu". The record is from RNAcentral. Lineage: Archaea; Nanobdellati; Nanobdellota.